GUCUGUGGCCUUGCCACCCCGAACAAGCCCAAUCCCAUCUGAUUUCGGAAGCUAAGCAGGGUUGGGCCUGGUUAGUACUUGGGUGGGAGACCACCUAGGAAGACCAGGUGCUGUAGGCG
Molecule: non-coding RNA, 119 nt
Organism: Pteropus alecto (black flying fox)
Lineage: Eukaryota; Metazoa; Chordata; Mammalia; Chiroptera; Pteropodidae
Source: Rfam